GUGCUCGCUUCGGCAGCACAUAUACUAAAAUUGGAACAAUACAGAGAAGAUUAGUGUGGCCCCUGCACAAGGGUGACACACACAAAUUCAUGAAGCAUUCCACAUUUUU
Molecule: small nuclear RNA, 109 nt
Organism: Gorilla gorilla gorilla (western lowland gorilla)
Lineage: Eukaryota; Metazoa; Chordata; Mammalia; Primates; Hominidae
Source: Ensembl